Long non-coding RNA from Corticium candelabrum, 208 nucleotides. RefSeq lists it as uncharacterized. The record is from RefSeq and is a predicted model, not a curated record. Lineage: Eukaryota; Metazoa; Porifera; Homoscleromorpha; Homosclerophorida; Plakinidae. The transcript is spliced from 3 exons.
CGCCGGACCGAGACCACCUUACAGAGAAUGCUAGAAACAUCUGAGAAAAGCGUAACAUCGCGACGACAAAAGCAAACGGUAAAAACUGCAGUUCAUGACACCUAUAGACGUUUGCUCAAAGCAACCGACACCUUUCAUGGAUGAAACCUAGAAGAAAGCUUCAACAGUGCUUCAAAUGUAGAAGUAUCUCUACUACUUAAACGCGAAG